Molecule: small RNA, 404 nt
Filed under: Histoplasma capsulatum var. duboisii H88
Lineage: Eukaryota; Fungi; Ascomycota; Eurotiomycetes; Onygenales; Ajellomycetaceae
Description: Histoplasma capsulatum H88 hypothetical RNA
Source: RNAcentral
ACCUGCUGUGGAGUUGGAUCUUGAACCCGGCAUCUAUGAAGCCGUAUCUGUUUAAAAUUCUUCCAGCGUCGUAGAGGGGAGAAUCUCCGCUCUUUGGUGGGCCGCAAUGGGGCAGCGAGAGGAGGUUCUUAGUCCGCCUUUCUUGAAAGUUACUCCUACCGACCACGGCGCUUGGGUUAUCCUGUCCAGUUGCAUCCUCCUUAUUCUGACCGUCAUCGUGGUGCUCGUGACUCUGAUAUCACGGGCAAGAGUGCUUCGCAAACUGGUUUUAUGUGACUUGUUACUCUCCUUAGCUACGAUACUUCUGUUUGUUGAGACCAUAUGUAUAAAUUUCGCUUGUUCAAAUGGCCUCGGUCGGCAUCGCAAUGCCCUAAGCGAGAAAUUAUUCCAGUCGUUUGCUAAGG